GAUGAACGCUGGCGGCGUGCCUAAUACAUGCAAGUCGCGCGAAUGGAUUAAGAGCUUGCUCUUAUGAAGUUAGCGGCGGACGGGUGAGUAACACGUGGGUAACCUGCCCAUAAGACUGGGAUAACUCCGGGAAACCGGGGCUAAUACCGGCUAACAUUUUUAACCGCAUGGUUCGAAAUUGAAAGGCCGCUUCGGCUGUCACCUAUGGAUUGACCCGCGUCGCAUUAGCUAGUUGGGGAGGUAACGGCCCACCAAGGCAACGAUGCGUAGCCGACCUGAGAGGGUGAUCGGCCACAGUGGGACUGAGACACGGCCCAGACUCCUACGGGAGGCAGCAGUAGGGAAUCUUCCGCAAUGGACGAAAGUCUGACGGAGCAACGCCGCGUGAGUAAUGAAGGCUUUCGGGUCGUAAAACUCUGUUGUUAGGGAAGAACAAGUGCUAGUUGAAUAAGCUGGCACCUUGACGGUACCUAACCAGAAAGCCACGGCUAACUACGUGCCAGCCGCCGCCGUAA
This 515-nucleotide ribosomal RNA is filed under the name uncultured bacterium. RNAcentral describes it as "partial 16S ribosomal RNA". It matches the Rfam family "Bacterial small subunit ribosomal RNA", at positions 28 to 523 of the family's 1533-position model. The record is from RNAcentral.